UGUAACUACAGCUUCAGGAGAUCCAACACCC
RNAcentral lists this non-coding RNA (31 nucleotides) under Mus musculus (house mouse). The record is from RNAcentral. Lineage: Eukaryota; Metazoa; Chordata; Mammalia; Rodentia; Muridae.